RNAcentral lists this ribosomal RNA (503 nucleotides) under uncultured Flavobacterium sp. RNAcentral describes it as "bacterial SSU rRNA". It matches the Rfam family "Bacterial small subunit ribosomal RNA", at positions 9 to 521 of the family's 1533-position model. The record is from RNAcentral. Lineage: Bacteria; Pseudomonadati; Bacteroidota; Flavobacteriia; Flavobacteriales; Flavobacteriaceae.
GAGUUUGAUCCUGGCUCAGAACGAACGCUGGCGGCAGGCUUAACACAUGCAAGUCGAGGGGUAACAGAAAAAAGCUUGCUUUUUUGCUGACGACCGGCGAACGGGUGCGCACCGCGUAUGGAACCCGCCUUGUACAGGGGAAUAGCCCAGGGAAACUUGGAUUAAUGCCCCGUAGUACCGUAUUUCGGCAUCGUUAUACGGUUAAAGCCUUCGGGCGGUACAAGAUGGCCAUGCGUCCCAUUAGCUUGUUGGUAAGGUAACGGCUUACCAAGGCUACGAUGGGUAGGGGCCCUGAGAGGGGGAUCCCCCACACUGGGACUGAGACACGGCCCAGACUCCUACGGGAGGCAGCAGUGGGGAAUAUUGGACAAUGGGCGAAAGCCUGAUCCAGCCAUGCCGCGUGAGUGAUGAAGGCCUUAGGGUUGUAAAGCUCUUUCAGUGGGGAAGAUAAUGACGGUACCCACAGAAGAAGCCCCGGCUAACUUCGUGCCAGCCGCCGCAGU